UUCAUAGAGUGUAAAGGCAUAAGGGAGCUUGACUGCGAGACCUACAAGUCGAGCAGGGUCGAAAGACGGACUUAGUGAUCCGGUGGUUCCGCAUGGAAGGGCCAUCGCUCAACGGAUAAAAGCUACCCCGGGGAUAACAGGCUUAUCUCCCCCAAGAGUUCACAUCGACGGGGAGGUUUGGCACCUCGAUGUCGGCUCAUCGCAUCCUGGGGCUGUAGUCGGUCCCAAGGGUUGGGCUGUUCGCCCAUUAAAGCGGUACGCGAGCUGGGUUCAGAACGUCGUGAGACAGUUCGGUCCCUAUCCGUCGUGGGCGUAGGAAAUUUGAGAGGAGCUGUCCUUAGUACGAGAGGACCGGGAUGGACAUACCUCUGGUGUACCAGUUGUCGUGCCAACGGCAUAGCUGGGUAGCUAUGUGUGGACGGGAUAAGUGCUGAAAGCAUCUAAGCAUGAAGCCCCCCUCAAGAUGAGAUUUCCCAACUUCGGUUAUAAGAUCCCUCAAAGAUGAUGAGGUUAAUAGGUUCGAGGUGGAAGCAUGGUGACAUGUGGAGCUGACGAAUACU
Molecule: ribosomal RNA, 560 nt
Filed under: Staphylococcus aureus
Lineage: Bacteria; Bacillati; Bacillota; Bacilli; Caryophanales; Staphylococcaceae
Description: partial 23S ribosomal RNA
Rfam family: Bacterial large subunit ribosomal RNA
Source: RNAcentral